GGCUCGGUAGCUCAGUUGGUAAAGAACUCGUCUAACAUACAAGAAUCGUAGGUUCGAAUUCCACCCGAGCAC
Molecule: non-coding RNA, 72 nt
Organism: Aedes aegypti (yellow fever mosquito)
Lineage: Eukaryota; Metazoa; Arthropoda; Insecta; Diptera; Culicidae
Source: Rfam